GAUGAAGAACGUAGCGAAAUGCGAUACUUGGUGUGAAUUGCAGAAUCCCGUGAACCAUCGAGUCUUUGAACGCAAGUUGCGCCCGAAGCCACUAGGCCGAGGGCACGCCUGCCUGGGCGUCACACGUCGUUGCCCCCCCCCCAUCUACUCCUUCGGGAUUGCGGGGGCGGAUGAUGGCCUCCCGUGCGCCUAGCCGCGCGGUUGGCAUAAAUACCAAGUCCUCGGCGACGCACGCCACGACAAUCGGUGGUUGCGAAACCUCGGUUGCCCGUCGUGUGCGUUCGUCGCGCAUCGAGGGCUCGAAAAAAUGCUCGGCUCCGGCUCGGCUUUCAACGCGACCCCAGGUCAGGCGGGGUUACCCGCUGAAUUUAAGCAUAUCAAUAAGCGGAGGA
RNAcentral lists this unclassified non-coding RNA (392 nucleotides) under soil metagenome. RNAcentral's name for it is "partial contains 5.8S ribosomal RNA, internal transcribed spacer 2, and large subunit ribosomal RNA". The stretch from base 1 to 122 matches the Rfam family "5.8S ribosomal RNA", at positions 35 to 154 of the family's 154-position model. The record is from RNAcentral.